GACGAACGCUGGCGGCGUGCUUAACACAUGCAAGUCGAACGGUGAAGCGCCUUCCUUUUUGGUGGGUGUGGAUGAGUGGCGAACGGGUGAGUAACACGUGAGUAACCUGCCCCCUUCUUCUGGAUAACCGCAUGAAAGUGUGGCUAAUACGGGAUAUUCUGGGUCUGUCGCAUGAUGGGUCUGGGAAAGAUAUUGUUUCGGUGGGGGAUGGGCUCGCGGCCUAUCAGCUUGUUAGUGGGGUGAUGGCCUACCAAGGCGGUGACGGGUAGCCGGCCUGAGAGGGUGGACGGUCACACUGGGACUGAGACACGGCCCAGACUCCUACGAGAGGCAGCAGUGGGGAAUAUUGCACAAUGGGCGCAAGCCUGAUGCAGCGACGCCGCGUGAGGGAUGGAGGCCUUCGGGUUGUGAACCUCUUUCGCCAGUGAAGCAGGCCUGCCUCGUUUGUGGGUGGGUUGACGGUAGCUGGAUAAGAAGCGCCGGCUAACUACGUG
This 494-nucleotide ribosomal RNA is filed under the name uncultured bacterium. RNAcentral describes it as "partial 16S ribosomal RNA". It matches the Rfam family "Bacterial small subunit ribosomal RNA", at positions 28 to 507 of the family's 1533-position model. The record is from RNAcentral.